Long non-coding RNA from Notothenia coriiceps (black rockcod), 202 nucleotides. RefSeq lists it as uncharacterized. The transcript is spliced from 4 exons. The record is from RefSeq and is a predicted model, not a curated record. Lineage: Eukaryota; Metazoa; Chordata; Actinopteri; Perciformes; Nototheniidae.
AGGUCUGCCUCACCACAUCUAACUACUUGUUUGAUUUGAAAACCCAUAUUCACUCACAUGGACAUGUACAGACAAUGAUUGAUGUCUUCCAGCAAGAUAUGUUCAAGGGUCAUGGCAUCUUUCCCUGCAUUGAGUUGAUCAAGUCGCGAGUCAGACGUGAAAUCCCAUGGCCCAUCAUAGGUCAGUAAAGUAUCUCUAAGUU